UAGAUUCGAGGUUGCUGGGCCUAGCUAGACAUUUCAGGAUCUAGAAUGAGACAAAUCGAGGGCAGCCCUUCACAAGUAACCUGGAUAGAUGAGAGAGCGGAGGUGUUUGAACUAGUCUCGUGGCUGCACACCUUGAUGACACCAUUUUCGACCUUGCUGUGUACUUUACAGAUAGUUUUCCUUGAAACACAAUUUUGUUGAAGGUAUAUGUUAUCUAUGGGAUUUCUGAUCUUAUUUGAUCUUAGAGCUGCGUGGUUUCACAUACACUUACCGUUAUGGCAUUAGCAUUUCUUCGGUUUGGAGGUCAGCGUACUGUUUUUCAUUUGAUUAUCUUCUCAUUCUUAUAAAACAGUAUUGGCCAGCUGCCUUAGAUUUCUUCAUAGUUUGAGGUCUGUCCUUGCUCCAAGAGAUUUGCAACGGUUGUGUACCUUGUUUAAUGAUUAUUAAUAUCUCAUCCUCGACCAGUCUUCAGCAAACUAAUACUAAGCGUUUAUUUUGAUCGUGG
This 505-nucleotide long non-coding RNA is filed under the name Triticum aestivum (bread wheat). Its description in RNAcentral is "long non-coding RNA (TAES_LNC016591)". The record is from RNAcentral. Lineage: Eukaryota; Viridiplantae; Streptophyta; Magnoliopsida; Poales; Poaceae.